GCGGCGAACGGGUGAGUAACACGUUGGAACCUACCUUGGACUCAGGGAUAGCCCGCCGAAAGGUGGAUUAAUACCGGAUAGUCCCGCAAGGGUAAAGCUUUUGCGGUCCAAGAGGGGCCUGCGCAGUAUCAGUUAGUUGGUAAGGUAAUGGCUUACCAAGACUACGACGCUUAGCUGGUCUGAGAGGAUAAUCAGCCACAAUGGAACUGAGACACGGUCCAUACUCC
Molecule: ribosomal RNA, 227 nt
Filed under: uncultured bacterium
Lineage: Bacteria
Description: partial 16S ribosomal RNA
Rfam family: Bacterial small subunit ribosomal RNA
Source: RNAcentral